Molecule: ribosomal RNA, 253 nt
Filed under: uncultured bacterium
Lineage: Bacteria
Description: partial 16S ribosomal RNA
Rfam family: Bacterial small subunit ribosomal RNA
Source: RNAcentral
UACAGAGGGUGCAAGCGUUAAUCGGAAUUACUGGGCGUAAAGCGUGCGUAGACGGUUACAUAAGUCGGGUGUGAAAGCCCCGGGCUCAACCUGGGAAUUGCAUUCGAGACUGCGUAGCUAGGGUGCGGAAGAGGGAAGCGGAAUUUCCGGUGUAGCGGUGAAAUGCGUAGAUAUCGGAAGGAACACCAGUGGCGAAAGCGGCUUCCUGGUCCAGCACCGACGUUCAGGCACGCAAGCGUGGGGAGCAAACAGG